GACGAACGCUGGCGGCGUGCUUAACACAUGCAAGUCGAACGGAAAGGCCCUGCUUUUGUGGGGUGCUCGAGUGGCGAACGGGUGAGUAACACGUGAGUAACCUGCCCUUGACUUUGGGAUAACUUCAGGAAACUGGGGCUAAUACCGGAUAGGAGCUCCUGCUGCAUGGUGGGGGUUGGAAAGUUUCGGCGGUUGGGGAUGGACUCGCGGCUUAUCAGCUUGUUGGUGGGGUAGUGGCUUACCAAGGCUUUGACGGGUAGCCGGCCUGAGAGGGUGACCGGCCACAUUGGGACUGAGAUACGGACCAGACUCCUACGGGAGGCAGCAGGGGGGAAUAUUGCACAAUGGGCGGAAGCCUGAUGCAGCAACGCCGCGUGCGGGAUGACGGCCUUCGAGUUGUAAACCGCUUUCGCCUGUGACGAAGCGUGAGUGACGGUAAUGGGUAAAGAAGCACCGGCUAACUACGUG
Molecule: ribosomal RNA, 468 nt
Filed under: uncultured bacterium
Lineage: Bacteria
Description: partial 16S ribosomal RNA
Rfam family: Bacterial small subunit ribosomal RNA
Source: RNAcentral